AAGUUAGAAGCGAAUUUUGCAUUUAGUUUCGACCUAAAAAUAUGGUUAAUUAACCCUAACUUA
This 63-nucleotide transfer RNA is filed under the name Triops australiensis. Its description in RNAcentral is "tRNA-Arg". The record is from RNAcentral. Lineage: Eukaryota; Metazoa; Arthropoda; Branchiopoda; Notostraca; Triopsidae.